RNAcentral lists this ribosomal RNA (236 nucleotides) under uncultured bacterium. RNAcentral describes it as "partial 16S ribosomal RNA". It matches the Rfam family "Bacterial small subunit ribosomal RNA", at positions 100 to 334 of the family's 1533-position model. The record is from RNAcentral.
UGGCGGGACGGGGGAGUAAUGUCUGGGAAACUGCCCGAUGGAGGGGGGUAACUACUGGAAACGGUAGCUAAUACCGCAUAACGUCGCAAGACCAAAGAGGGGGACCUCCGGGCCUCGCGCCAUCAGAUGAACCCAUAUGGGAUUAGCUUGUAGGUAAGGUAACGGCUUACCUAGGCGACGAUCCCUAGCUGGUCUGAGAGGAUGACCAGCCACACUGGAACUGAGACACGGCCCAG